Molecule: unclassified non-coding RNA, 366 nt
Filed under: uncultured bacterium
Lineage: Bacteria
Description: contains 16S-23S intergenic spacer region
Source: RNAcentral
UCCCGGUUGCCCGGGCAGUCUCGCGUGAAAAGUUCAACACACGACAAGGGUUGCGCUCGUUGCGGGACUUAACCCAACAUCUCACGACACGAGCUGACGACGGCCAUGCAGCACCUGUCACCGAUCCAGCCGAACUGACUCUCUUGUUUCCAAGAGAUACGAUCGGGAUGUCAAGCCUCGGUAAGGUUCUUCGCGUAGCAUCGAAUUAAACCACAUGUUCCACUGCUUGUGCGGGUCCCCGCCAAUUCCUUUGAGUUUUAGCCUUGCGGCCGUACUCCCCAGGCGGCACACUUAACGCGUUAGCUACGCAGCACAAAGGGUCGAUACUUCAUACUGCUAGUGUGCAUCGUUUACAGCGUGGACUAC